Long non-coding RNA from Candoia aspera, 2752 nucleotides. RefSeq lists it as uncharacterized. The record is from RefSeq and is a predicted model, not a curated record. The transcript is spliced from 2 exons. Lineage: Eukaryota; Metazoa; Chordata; Lepidosauria; Squamata; Candoiidae.
UUAGUUAGACUUACAACGUGGAGAGCUGAGUUCAGGGAUAUUCUUGGCCACAAGGCUUAUUGUGUGUCCCUGGGUACUGAGGCUAGCCUACCUCACUGGGAAAUUGUGAGGAUAAAACAGGGAAGGAUAUAUAUGCAGCCUUGAGCUCCUUGGAGGAAUGGGGCAAAGGGCAAAUAGAUACAUAAAUCAAAGGGUAAAAAUUUAGCCAUCCCUUGAUUAAAAUUAAGCAAUGCCAAUGAGUGUUCAAGGGAAAAAAAAAACACAGGCACAAACUGCCAACAAGCCAUCUUCUACCCUAAAAGAGGGUAGCCUAAAUAAGAACAGAAAUAUUUAGUAGGUGCUUUUUAACAGGCCUCUAAAUUGUAGGUUCCAGGGAAAGAAUUUGUUGGACAAAAAGACAGUGGGUCCCCUGGGUUCCAUGCGCCAAAAUGAAUACUUGAGCCCUGCCAAGAGUGGGCUGUGUUUUGAUAUAUGUUUCUUUCUCGUUUUUUUUCCCCCUUCUCUCUCUCAAUCUCUCUUUCAGAGCUACUUUAGCAGCACUUUCUCUGGAACACUUUUCAAGUUCUGUAUUUAAUGGAAGUCAAAAACAAAAAACAACACCACACACACAUAACAAAAAAAAAAUCCUGAUCUUUUUGUUUGUUCGCUUGUUUCUCGGUUGGUUCAUUUGCUUUUAUUUUUUUCUAAGAAAACAAAACAAAAGAGAAAAAGAAAGAAAGAAAGGAGGGGAAAGGAGACAGAGGUGAACACCCCCCCUUCUUUAAAAACAAAGAAAGAAGGAAAAGGAGAAAAAGAAAAUAUUAUGAAAAAUCAAUAAACUUGCUUUCUUUGAUAACGGCACGGGGGCAGUUUUGAAGCAGACUGUCGGGAAGCGAGCUCUCAACCUACAGCCCAGCAAAAAGACAAUCAAAAACACUUGCAGCCUCCCAGGUCGAGUGGCAGAGCGGGGGCCGCAUGCCUCCCACCACCCGCCCACAGCAUGCAGACAAGAAACACUCUGGAAGGCGACGGACAGAAACCAAGGACAGCCAGAGGGAAGGGGACAUUUAUUUUUGCUUUUUUGGGCGGGGGGAAGGUGUUGGGGAGGGAAGACAGGCUGAUCUGUGAACGCCAAUGAAAACCCAUCAAGGAAGACUGAAGAUUUGGCAUUCUCUUCCUCCUCCCCCCCUCCUCCUCCUCUCCCUUAUUUUCCCCUCCUUUUCUGCAGAUUUCUUUCAUUUUUUUUCCUCCCAGUGGUUGGUUGGUUGGUUGGUUUGCAAUUUUUUUUUAAAAAAAGAGAAAAACUUUGUUGCUUAAUUUCUUUGGGGAGCCCAGAAGAUUUUACAAGUCUGUGAAUCAAUCUUGGAGACCACCACCAUCUCCCAUUUCUGUUACCAAAAGGAAGAAGAUCCCUGCCCACUAACCACACUUGUUAUAAGCUUGCAACGGACCGGCUCCUUUUGAUACUGCUUCUUUGCUGGAGUGGGGUGUGAGAAAAAGGGAGAACUGUCUGCCAAGACUGACCGAGAGAGUUCAGCCAGACCGAAGACUUGCAUCGCCUUUGGUGCGCUCUCCCGCGCUCUCUGUAUGUCUCCGGCCCCUCUGUCACUGCCGCUCUCUGCCCCCUUCGUUCCGGAUCUGACCGUGAGAGAAGCUCGAGUCUUCUCCAUCAAGAAGCAAGGAGGGGGGGGGCGGGUUGGGGGAACGGGCCUUUUCUAUCUGCACAAAACCAGCAAUUGUAAAUACUUUUCGAAAAUGUAAAAAAAGAAAACUUACAAAACAGCAAACACAAUGAAGAUGUAUACUCCCAUACACACACAAACACACACACACACACGUGUGUCUUUUUUGUCUUCAACAUCCCAAAUGUUUUGAAGACAAAAAAAGAAAAAAAAAAGGAGGCCAGAGAGUCAAAGCAGGAGAGAAGCUAAUUGCGUCGGAUAUGCACUGAGAAAUCUAUUUGCAGAUUGACAAAAAGUAACAAGAACCUAUUUAUUGUAUAUAAUGUUUUAUUAUAAAUCGUGAAUUGUAUAUUGCAUCUGUACAUCUGCUGUGGUUUUGUGAUGUGCAAAUUUCAGCAUGGGUUUCAUUGAGGUUUUAAGUUGCUUUUUUUAAAUUGUUUGGGGGAGUUUUUUUAAUGUUUGUUUUUGUUUUUUGGCAGGACACACCCAAAGACCCAAGUUUGUAUUAAAAACUAGGGAAAAAAUAGACAAGCUAAUACACCCUUUGCCCGGGAGGGAGGGAGGGAGCGAAGUGUUCUGAGUUCUCAUUGGCCACCUGUAAGCCCAAAUGAGUGUUCCUUCUUCCGUGCGCGCCCCUUUAUGCCAGUGCUGAGCUCAGGGUGUGUGCGUGCGCGUGCACGCGCGCGCGCGACUCCCCCCCGCCCGUUUUUUGUCCUGCUCUCUAUUCCCUCCUUUUCCUGUUUUGGAAACUUCCGUACAGCUUUGUGGAUCGUGCAGAAAAAAAACAAAAAGGAAAAAAAAAAGCCCCAUCCUGUGUUGUCCGUUUCUGAUCUGAACUGUGCGUCUAAAUAUACCAGCCUUGGUAGUUGCUUGGAGACGAACACAUUCAAAUCCUCCGGAUUGGCACCAUCUGAGCUGCUGCUUGCUUGAUUCCUCUCCCUGGCCAAAAAUCGUCUUCGUCCACCCCCCGAACCCCCCCUUUUUUUCUUUUGCUUUUCCCUCUCCCGCACCCGAAUUGGUCUUUUUGUGUAUUUAGGAAGGAAUUUUUAAUAGACACUUUUUAUAUUAAAAGAAACCUAUAUAUUGAGUGA